Molecule: long non-coding RNA, 247 nt
Organism: Arabidopsis thaliana (thale cress)
Lineage: Eukaryota; Viridiplantae; Streptophyta; Magnoliopsida; Brassicales; Brassicaceae
Product: other RNA
Exons: 1
Source: RefSeq
GUGUUUCUUCUAAAUUCGCUUGCGACUAACUCCGGUGAAGGAUUAAAAUAGAUUGUGCUUCUAGAAAAUUUAUUAACGAUAUAUAAUUAUAAAAGUGAAGAAGAAAAAGGACAAAGAUUAGUCAUGUAGAUAUCAUUAUUGAGGAUUCACAAGACUUGCUUAUGUCCCUUUUGCCCUUUACACAUUUGUUUCUGUCUACUCUUGUAGAUUCUCCACAUAAAUGAUAACAUGUGUUCUCUUGUUUCUG